UACGGAGGGUGCAAGCGUUAUCCGGAUUCACUGGGUUUAAAGGGUGCGUAGGUGGGCAAGUAAGUCAGUGGUGAAAUCUCCGGGCUUAACCCGGAAACUGCCAUUGAUACUAUUUGUCUUGAAUACUGUGGAGGUCAGCGGAAUAUGUCAUGUAGCGGUGAAAUGCUUAGAUAUGACAUAGAACACCAAUUGCGAAGGCAGCUUACUACCCGAAUAUUGACACUGAGGCACGAAAGCGUGGGGAUCAAACAGG
RNAcentral lists this ribosomal RNA (253 nucleotides) under uncultured bacterium. Its description in RNAcentral is "partial 16S ribosomal RNA". It matches the Rfam family "Bacterial small subunit ribosomal RNA", at positions 524 to 776 of the family's 1533-position model. The record is from RNAcentral.